Monodelphis domestica (gray short-tailed opossum) is the source of this 54-nucleotide microRNA precursor. The record is from Ensembl. Lineage: Eukaryota; Metazoa; Chordata; Mammalia; Didelphimorphia; Didelphidae.
AAAGUCUUUGUGUAGUUUUAAGCUAUUAAGGCUUAAACUGUACUAAGACUUUUG